This 292-nucleotide ribosomal RNA is filed under the name uncultured bacterium. Its description in RNAcentral is "partial 16S ribosomal RNA". It matches the Rfam family "Bacterial small subunit ribosomal RNA", at positions 505 to 796 of the family's 1533-position model. The record is from RNAcentral.
GUGUCAGCCGCCGCGGUAAUACGGAGGGUGCAAGCGUUAUCCGGAUUCACUGGGUUUAAAGGGAGCGUAGGCGGAACGAUAAGUCAGUGGUGAAAGCCCCGAGCUCAACUUGGGAAUUGCCAUUGAUACUGUUGUUCUUGAGUUCGGUUGAGGUAGGCGGAAUGUUACAUGUAGCGGUGAAAUGCUUAGAUAUGUAACAGAACACCGAUUGCGAAGGCAGCUUACCAAGCCGACACUGACGCUGAGGCUCGAAAGCGUGGGGAUCAAACAGGAUUAGAAACCCCAGUAGUCC